ACUGCUCCAAUGGAAAGCUUGUAAACCUGGAAGCAUAAAUUGCAAUUUUUUGAGCUGAGGUAGUUCAUCCUUGGCCUUCAAUAAUUACCAACAUAACUGUAUCACUUUAAUUGCACAUUCCUAGUUUGGACAAACGAAACUGACUUGUGUAUUCAUUUACUUUGUCAGUUAGCUGUGGUUUAUUACUCAAUGUUAUGUCACCAUGGUUAGGUCCCAUCAUUAUUGAUUGUUAAAAUGCUUUGCAUGGUAGUACUACUACCAAUGUUAAAAUAUCUUAAAAUAAUGACAAUCUGAAAGGACAUGCUUGGUAAAGGGUCUUUGAAAGAUGAUAGACUUUGUUGAUAAGUUUUAUGGGUGAAAAAAAAUUAAAGAAUGAAAAUAAGAAAGUAGGAGUAAUGUAAUAAACUAUUAACACCAUUAUAAAAUGCUUGAGCACACAUAACCUGGUUGAUUUCUACCCAUUUAAUGCUAGUCUAAUUCUUUCUGAUAACUACAAAUGAUAAAGGAUAUGCUUGUUGGAGUUUGGCAUUGUUGUUUAGAACAAUAAACCACUAGCAACUGAUCUGACCACUUAUACAGCAUUUUAGAAUAAGAUUACUGCAUGAUCUGUGGAUGUUAAAGUGGUAAAGGUGCAUACAUGUAAUAUAGCAUUCUAAAAAUUUGGAUUCUGUAGAAGGCUUCUUAAUUGAAAAAGCAAGGGUACCUCUUUCUCAUUAUACAUAGGUAUUUGGAUCAACACCUUGGGGUAUCUUUUGUUUCUCUGCAGUUUCUGCUUCAUGACAUCCAAAUUGUACUUUCUAUAUUUUUUCUUCCCCAGCACUUUGACAAUUGCACAUAUAGUUGCCAUGACUACUCUUUCAACAAAUAGCAUGAUUGACAUAGUUGAGCACAGUAUGACUGCUAAUUUUAGGAGUGGUAUUAUCACUGGGGCCCGUAUUGAUUCCCAGGCAUAGCGCAGAUGGCUUGAAGCAUAUUCUGGUGCCCUUACAUCAGUCUCCUCAAAGAUUAGGUUUCUCAUGGUUGGUGGGGUUUCAGAUAUCAAGGAAUAUAAACCUAAUAAGUUGCUUGGGGGCUUAGACAAGUGCAGGAUGGGUCAGUGACUUGUUGCAGGCAUUGGGCAAGAGGGUAUGAUGAUUGUUGAAGGUGAAACAUUUAUAUAAGAAGGAAAUGCAAGGAAGGAAGGAAGAUGAUGAUGUGAUGGAGAGCUAUUCUUUUUGAGAGACACGUGUUGUUCAUGCACGUAAUGGUGCUGCAACGUAGCUACUUCAUAGCUGGAUAUGUCUUUUCUUGCCGACAAUUUGAUCAAGAGUUUACCGUCAAUGAUUUUGAUCACAGUAAGAAGUUGUUUUGUAUUCAGUCCAAUUUUGUGAGAUUCUGUUAUGUUGCUAGUAAUUAUUAGAUACAUGCCAACAGAGUCAAGCUAGCUUAUUUGGUACUUCGCUAUGGCUUAGGUACGGUCUUUUUGUUAAAUUAAUUUUCUCUUAUCUUCUACAUAUGCUGUUUCUUUCCUUUUGUGAGAAGGCAUAUUCAGCCAUAUAAAGUGUGUUGAUUUUCUUUCGUGAUUAAUUUGUUUGGGUAAGGUCGAUGAUAGUAUGUAGUACUUUGUAGUUUGCUACUAGAUGCUUUUAAAUUCUUUCAUGAAUCUUUCCUAAGCAUUAUUCACAAAAGCAAAUCAACAGAUUUCUCUAAGUAAAAAAAUGAAGUGAUGUAAACAAGAGGUGAGAGGAGGUAAUGUGUGCGAAGUAGAAGAAGAAUGGAGACAAUCCCUUGUUAGGAAAGAUUGACAUGAAUGCUGAAAAAUGGGAUAAAUUAAAAAAGGAGAGUGAGUUUCAUUUUAGUUUAUAUCACAGUUUAGAAGUUUCUUGAUGCCAACGUCUCUAAUGAUGCGAUGCUAUAAUUUUAAAGUAAAAAAUAUAUAAUAUCCUUUAGAAGCAUUUGACUGAUAAAGAAAGAGAAGUCCUUCCUUUCUGGUUUCUGCAAUAAAUUCCUUGCUAUAUGAGAUGGUUGCUAUCCUUUCCUUUUAUCUCAUGUAUUAAGAUAAAGUUUCUCUAGACCUACGAUUUUAUUUUACAUAUUCAUAAAACAUGGUAUUUAGUCUUUUUGUUACCUAAGUCAGUGAUAUUUUUGUAAUUUUUUCUUCUACAAACUUUUGAUUGCAAAGAAAGAAAACCUAAGCUGAAUGAUUUAUCAAGAUUGGAGUUUAGUGAAGCCAGUUUUAAAGGGCCGCUAUUCCAUAAAAAUCAUCAAAAGCACAGACGGUGCUUUCUAAAUAUUUUUAUAUCAUAGCUGAAAUUUCUUUACAAUAAUCUCAUUUUAUUAUAGUUGGUUUAUGCUCUCUGGUUUAAUAGAAAUGACCUAUGGCAUUGUCUGUGUGUGGCCCUGAAUUAUGGCAACUUUUCAUGUCUGACUCAGAUGGUGUGUAUUUACUCUGCGACAUGUUGCAGUCAUUUGGAUUUAUCAAAUUGUCUUACCUUCAAAUUUUGCGUGCACUCAAGUUCAACAUGGACAAUAUCUUGUACUUAAGCUAUACUGUCUGCUUCCUUGUCGGUGUUGUUUCUCUCAGAAGUUAUGACAGAUAAGGGGGUUUACGUUUCAAUCAUUGCUUUCUUCAUUUUGAAAAACUCAUCUCGCUCCUUCCAUUCGAAGUUGAAAUACAAUUUGAAUUACCUAAUUAAUAUUGUGUCGGUGACAAACGUAAUGGUGCUUCCAAAAUGUUUUGGUCGACAAGAUGGGUUAUGUAAGAUUGUUCCCAUUUUGAGAUAAUUAUAUGUUUUAAGUCUUUUGUGUCUUUGGUAAGUAUGAAAUGGUAGCUGUGGAACAGUAAAUAUUGGAAUUUAUUUUGCCUUUGUUGAGUUAAUUAUGUUGUUAGGACUUUGGCAUAGCCUUGGCAUAGGCUGAACAUAUAAACUUCAUUAGCACAUGAGACAUGAUUUGUUGUUGUAAGGAAUAAUUGAUCAAAGAAACCUCUUUUCCUUGUGUGUAUUGGUCUUGAUUAGUUUGAUUCAAAAUUAUGAACUGCAGAUGAUUUGUUAUAUUUUCAUUUUUAUGUAGUCAUGCGUCAUGCCCAUUCAUUGUUUUACCUUGUUUAGUGUUUCACAAUUCACCCACGUAUCUGACUUUCUGAGUUGUUAAUUGCUUGUAUGUUUCCUUGAUUUAGAUAUUAAUAUUAAUAUAUGAUAUAUCUUUCAAGGUAUUACCCAAGCCAGGCGAGAUAAUUCUACAUUAAAUUGGUUGGUCUAGUUUAAUUGUUGCAAGUCCUGAAGCUUGCAUUAUCAUGCAAAUUUUACUGUAUUGUGACACUUGUUAGAUGGUAAAGUAGUGAAAAGGGAAGAGUAUACUUCGAUGGUCUUUGUCUCCAUUCUGACCAACUUAUUUGGUUUCAGCCAUCGGAUGUUGAAAUAGAAAGGAAAAAUAAUAAAAAGAAUAACCCAGUUAAUAUUUCACUUCAGGGAUUAUAAAACUUUUGAGAUCUCUGAAGUGUUGAGCCUGGAGAAUAGGUUAGAUAAGUUGUUUCUGCUUUUGGAGAACUAUAUGUUGAAUUUUGUCCCUGUGGAGCAAUAAAUAUAGGUUUCAUGUGUUUGGGUCAAUUAUAUUGCAGCAUUAUGAGAUUGGCUUGCAUAUACCCUGACAUAAACUUCAGUAGCAUGCAAAUUGUUGUAGUGAGUGAUUAAUCAAAGAAACUUCUAUGCAUUUUGUAUGUCAAAGUCUUAAUUAUUCUGAUACGCCUCACACAAAACUGAAAGCUUCUGGAUUUUAAAAGUUUAUAUCAUUAAUUGGUCCUUAUUAUAGAGAUUCUACAAAGUUUUACAUUGGCUGUCAUGACUGCCUACCAUAACCUUCAUCUUUUAUCCAGGACUUUCAACGUAUAGCAUUAAGCACACAUAGGCAGGUUUUAAUGAUAUAGGAAGUCUGGUGUUUUCCCUUUGAUCCACAUUAACUGCUUUAUGUAUUGCGUGAACAUUUAAGCUUGCAGUUUUUAUUAUAUAGUGAUGCUUGUUAAAUAACAAACUUGUGUAACUGUGAUUUUCAGGUUAAGGAAAUCAGUUUUAUACCAUAUUUUGGAAGGUUCUGUACUUCUAUUUUGCACAUAAGUUAAGUUUGACACUGAUUGUAAUUUUGUAAUAUAAUAUUUUUCCUAUCUUUGCAAUUUAGCUUUUUAUGCUGCUCUGGAUGGCUGGAAGAUGUGAAACUUGUACAGGUAUGUGCUUAUUGGGCAAUGCCAAUUAGAAUGUAAAGAUAUCUUUAAAAUAAUCAUAUUAAGGGCCUUAUUAUCUUUUUAAAUUAUUAUCUUAAUGAUUAACCAGUAUUUGAUUUGUUGUGCCUAUACAUGAUUUAUUCUGGCUGGAUAUUCAUUGGUCAUAUGCAUCAAGCAAUCAUGCCAGUGAAAGGAAAGAGUUGUUGCUCCCCUCCUGCAGAAAAGUUUUUUGGUUAGUAUAUUAUGAAUUGCAAAGUCCUUUUUCAUUGACUAUUGGACUGAUCCUACUUUUUGUAGAGAAAGAUUUGUGUAGAGACGUAUGUAUGUAGAGAUAACCAAUAAAAUUUUGACAACACGUUAAAAAUUUAAUUUUAAUUAAAAUUUAGUUAUUAAUGAUAGCAC
RNAcentral lists this long non-coding RNA (4597 nucleotides) under Lupinus angustifolius (narrow-leaved blue lupine). Its description in RNAcentral is "long non-coding RNA (LANG_LNC002737)". Lineage: Eukaryota; Viridiplantae; Streptophyta; Magnoliopsida; Fabales; Fabaceae. The record is from RNAcentral.